CCUUCAGUAGUGCAGAUGGUUAAUAUAUUUGGCUGCCAAACAAAAGGUUGGAGGUUCAAAUCCACCCAGAAGAA
This 74-nucleotide transfer RNA is filed under the name Loxodonta africana (African savanna elephant). It matches the Rfam family "tRNA". From Rfam's summary of the family: Transfer RNA (tRNA) molecules are approximately 80 nucleotides in length. Their secondary structure includes four short double-helical elements and three loops (D, anti-codon, and T loops). Further hydrogen bonds mediate the characteristic L-shaped molecular structure. tRNAs have two regions of fundamental functional importance: the anti-codon, which is responsible for specific mRNA codon recognition, and the 3' end, to which the tRNAs corresponding amino acid is attached (by aminoacyl-tRNA synthetases). tRNAs cope with the degeneracy of the genetic code in two manners: having more than one tRNA (with a specific anti-codon) for a particular amino acid; and 'wobble' base-pairing, i.e. permitting non-standard base-pairing at the 3rd anti-codon position. Lineage: Eukaryota; Metazoa; Chordata; Mammalia; Proboscidea; Elephantidae. The record is from Rfam by way of RNAcentral.